This 578-nucleotide ribosomal RNA is filed under the name uncultured bacterium. RNAcentral's name for it is "bacterial SSU rRNA". It matches the Rfam family "Bacterial small subunit ribosomal RNA", at positions 338 to 916 of the family's 1533-position model. The record is from RNAcentral.
CCUACGGGAGGCAGCAGUGAGGAAUAUUGGUCAAUGGGCGAGAGCCUGAACCAGCCAAGUCGCGUGAAGGAUGACUGUCUUAUGGAUUGUAAACUUCUUUUGUAGGGGAAUAAAGAACAGUACGUGUACUGUAGUGAAUGUACCCUACGAAUAAGCAUCGGCUAACUCCGUGCCAGCAGCCGCGGUAAUACGGAGGAUGCGAGCGUUAUCCGGAUUUAUUGGGUUUAAAGGAUGCGUAGGCGGCCUGUUAAGUCAGCGGUGAAAUCUAGGAGCUUAACUCCUAAAUUGCCGUUGAUACUGGCGGGCUUGAGUGUAGAUGAGGUAGGCGGAAUGCGUGGUGUAGCGGUGGAAUGCAUAGAUAUCACGCAGAACUCCAAUUGCGAAGGCAGCUUACUAAGGUACAACUGACGCUGAAGCACGAAAGCGUGGGUAUCAAACAGGAUUAGAUACCCUGGUAGUCCACGCAGUAAACGAUGAUAACUGGGCGUAUGCGAUAUACAGUAUGCUCCUAAGCGAAAGCGUUAAGUUAUCCACCUGGGGAGUACGCCGGCAACGGUGAAACUCAAAGGAAUUGACGG